This 207-nucleotide ribosomal RNA is filed under the name uncultured bacterium. RNAcentral describes it as "partial 16S ribosomal RNA". It matches the Rfam family "Bacterial small subunit ribosomal RNA", at positions 568 to 774 of the family's 1533-position model. The record is from RNAcentral.
AGCGUAGACGGAUGGACAAGUCUGAUGUGAAAGGCUGGGGCUCAACCCCGGGACUGCAUUGGAAACUGCCCGUCUUGAGUGCCGGAGAGGUGAGCGGAAUUCCUAGUGUAGCGGUGAAAUGCGUAGAUAUUAGGAGGAACACCAGUGGCGAAGGCGGCUUACUGGACGGUAACUGACGUUGAGGCUCGAAAGCGUGGGGAGCAAACA